This is a long non-coding RNA of Oreochromis niloticus (Nile tilapia), 641 nucleotides long. RefSeq lists it as uncharacterized. NCBI's taxonomy places the organism in Eukaryota, Metazoa, Chordata, Actinopteri, Cichliformes, Cichlidae. The transcript is spliced from 3 exons. The record is from RefSeq and is a predicted model, not a curated record.
CCCAGUCCUAUUGAUGCAAGCGUGUUCCCGACAGUAGUUUCUGUACUCUGAGUGACGAGGCAGCAGUGGAGCAAAUGAGUAUAAAUACCAGCACCUUUUCCCUCAGUCAACCAUCACAAAGGAGCUGACAAGAGUCAACGAGAGAGUCAAAGGAUCUGACCACCUUAAACCACUCAAACCUCCUGAAGAUGAAGGCGUUCAGUUAGUUGCAGUGGCCGUUGCACUCAUCUGUAUUUGCAUUCAGCAGAGCUCUGCCACAUUUGCUGAGAUACGAGAACUGCAAGAGCUACAAGAGGCUGUGAACAAUGACGGUCCAGCUGCUGAACAUCAGGAGGUAUCAGCUGACUCAUGGCUGAUGCCGUACCACAGACAGAAGCGUGGCAUCAAGUGUCGCUUUUGCUGCGGCUGCUGCAAUUCUGGUGUCUGUGGAUUGUGCUGCAGAUUCUGAGAAUAUCUACCUGCGAUUCUCACAUUAACCACUAAAUAUAGACGGUUAUACCUGAAAUGAUUUGACUGCUUAGCAUUUGUUAAAGUCUGACAGUGUUUCUUCAUCUGGUGAUCCUGCUGUAACAGUGAACAGUGCAGCAUUUGGAACUACAGUAUGUUAUUAUAUUAAACUUCAGUGGCACUAUACUACAACA